This 488-nucleotide ribosomal RNA is filed under the name uncultured bacterium. Its description in RNAcentral is "bacterial SSU rRNA". It matches the Rfam family "Bacterial small subunit ribosomal RNA", at positions 28 to 513 of the family's 1533-position model. The record is from RNAcentral.
GAUGAACGCUGGCGGCGUGCCUAACACAUGCAAGUCGAGCGCGAUUAAGUGGAGUGAGAACUUCGGUUCAAGUGAAGCUUAUGAAAGCGGCGGACGGGUGAGUAACGCGUGGGUAACCUGCCCCAUACAAAGGGAUAGCCACUGGAAACGGUGAUUAAUACCUUAUAAGUCGGUAGUCUCGCAUGAGACAGCCGACAAAGAUUUAUCGGUAUGGGAUGGACCCGCGUCUGAUUAGCUAGUUGGUGAGGUAACGGCUCACCAAGGCGACGAUCAGUAGCCGACCUGAGAGGGUGAUCGGCCACACUGGAACUGAGACACGGUCCAGACUCCUACGGGAGGCAGCAGUGGGGAAUAUUGCACAAUGGGCGCAAGCCUGAUGCAGCAACGCCGCGUGAGUGAUGAAGGCUUUCGGGUCGUAAAACUCUGUCCUAUGGGAAGAAAAAAUAGACGGUACCAUAGGAGGAAGCCCGGCUAACUACGUGCCAGCA